This 424-nucleotide ribosomal RNA is filed under the name uncultured bacterium. RNAcentral's name for it is "bacterial SSU rRNA". It matches the Rfam family "Bacterial small subunit ribosomal RNA", at positions 355 to 769 of the family's 1533-position model. The record is from RNAcentral.
UGGGGAAUAUUGGACAAUGGGCGCAAGCCUGAUCCAGCAACGCCGCGUGGAGGACGAAGGCCUUAGGGUCGUAAACUCCUGUCAGUAGGGACGAAAAAGUAGGGUCGAACAGGCCCUGCCAUUGACGGUACCUGCAGAGGAAGCCCCGGCUAACUCCGUGCCAGCAGCCGCGGUAAUACGGAGGGGGCUAGCGUUAUUCGGAUUUACUGGGCGUAAAGGGCGUGUAGGCGGCUUGAUAGGUCAAAAGGUGAAAGCCCUCGGCUCAACCGAGGAACUGCCUUUGAAACCAUCUGGCUCGAGGCCGGGAGGGGGUAGUGGAAUUCCUGGGUGUAGCGGUGAAAUGCGUAGAUAUCAGGAGGAACACCGGUGGCGAAGGCGGCUACCUGGACCGGUUCUGACGCUGAGGCGCGAAAGCGUGGGGAGC